This 521-nucleotide ribosomal RNA is filed under the name uncultured bacterium. RNAcentral's name for it is "bacterial SSU rRNA". It matches the Rfam family "Bacterial small subunit ribosomal RNA", at positions 8 to 524 of the family's 1533-position model. The record is from RNAcentral.
AGAGUUUGAUCCUGGCUCAGAUUGAACGCUAGCGGGAUGCUUUACACAUGCAAGUCGGACGGCAGCGCGGACUUCGGUCUGGCGGCGAGUGGCGAACGGGUGAGUAAUGUAUCGGAACGUGCCCAGUAGCGGGGGAUAACCACUCGAAAGAGUGGCUAAUACCGCAUACGCCCUACGGGGGAAAGCGGGGGACCUUCGGGCCUCGCACUAUUGGAGCGGCCGAUAUCGGAUUAGCUAGUUGGUGGGGUAAAGGCCUACCAAGGCGACGAUCCGUAGCUGGUUUGAGAGGACGACCAGCCACACUGGGACUGAGACACGGCCCAGACUCCUACGGGAGGCAGCAGUGGGGAAUUUUGGACAAUGGGGGCAACCCUGAUCCAGCCAUCCCGCGUGUGCGAUGAAGGCCUUCGGGUUGUAAAGCACUUUUGGCAGGGAAGAAAAGGCUCUGGCUAAUACCUGGAGCUGCUGACGGUACCUGCAGAAUAAGCACCGGCUAACUACGUGCCAGCAGCCGCGGUAAU